Siniperca chuatsi (mandarin fish) is the source of this 581-nucleotide long non-coding RNA. RefSeq lists it as uncharacterized. NCBI's taxonomy places the organism in Eukaryota, Metazoa, Chordata, Actinopteri, Centrarchiformes, Sinipercidae. The transcript is spliced from 3 exons. The record is from RefSeq and is a predicted model, not a curated record.
AAUCUUAAGUCAUAAUAUUCUUCUUCUGAGUAUUUUACCUGCUAGACAACCACAAGCAGUUUGAAUGUGGAAAAUAGGAAUCAACCUUUUAAUGCAACUGCAGUGAAAAUAAGAUUGUUAUAUGUUGUGUAAAGCUUUCAACCACAAGCAUUGCAGACCUGGCAGUUCAACAAACACCUGAAGAAAAAACUACAGGCUGGGACACAGCAGCACUUGUAUAUACUGAACAUUAGUUUUUCAUUUCUUACUUUUCUGUUUUCAUUCUCAAGGACUGUGGCAAAAGGAAGGAGACUGCACACAAACGGGUAAAAAACGUGUUCCAGACCUCACUGUGUACCAAGUACAAGUACACACACACAGAUAUAAACAGGACAUGAAAUGAGCAAAGACUUUCUGAAAGAAGCCUGGACAACGUCCGUGUUCUAACACCACAAAAUGUUGCAUCUCCUGGAGAACUGUGCCAGCAGCGUCCCAGACCUUUGCUGUCAGCCAGGAGACCUCAUCAGCAAGGUGAUCAACUGCUUUCACAGAGUCACCUGGGGCUCCUAAAUCAUUGAGUCUGAGUCACAGGCAGACACACC